UGUUUGCAGCCUUGCGACUGUGUCACUUGCACUUGUCCGUUGCUCGUGGCUUUAACAAGGUCUGCGAAAAGCAAGCAGGAGAAUGAAAAGGCGUGACUUCUGGAGGCUCAGAAGCUUUACGUGCGAUGUUCUCCGGACACGUGACUCCUGCCUCGCACGGCGGUGACGGCCUCGCUCUCUAGGCGCCACCUUUCUUGAGGCAGGUAGAGGAAAACCUUGGCACACUGCUGAGGCAGGUGGAGACCUUCCUGUCUGGCACUGUUAACCAAGAAACAA
This is a non-coding RNA of Entelurus aequoreus (snake pipefish), 276 nucleotides long. NCBI's taxonomy places the organism in Eukaryota, Metazoa, Chordata, Actinopteri, Syngnathiformes, Syngnathidae. The record is from RefSeq and is a predicted model, not a curated record.